UACGUAGGUGGCAAGCGUUGUCCGGAAUUAUUGGGCGUAAAGCGCGCGCAGGCGGCUAAGUAAGUCUGAUGUGAAAGCCCGGGGCUCAACCCCGGUGUGCAUUGGAAACUGCGUAGCUUGAGUGCAGAAGAGGAAAGCGGUAUUCCACGUGUAGCGGUGAAAUGCGUAGAGAUGUGGAGGAACACCAGUGGCGAAGGCGGCUUUCUGGUCUGUAACUGACGCCGAGGCGCGAAAGCGUGGGGAGCAAACAGG
Molecule: ribosomal RNA, 252 nt
Filed under: uncultured bacterium
Lineage: Bacteria
Description: partial 16S ribosomal RNA
Rfam family: Bacterial small subunit ribosomal RNA
Source: RNAcentral